RNAcentral lists this ribosomal RNA (490 nucleotides) under uncultured bacterium. RNAcentral describes it as "partial 16S ribosomal RNA". It matches the Rfam family "Bacterial small subunit ribosomal RNA", at positions 29 to 507 of the family's 1533-position model. The record is from RNAcentral.
AAUGAACGCUGGCGGCAUGCCUUGCACAUGCAAGUCGAACGGCAGCAUGACAUGGCUUUCUAGGUUGAUGGCGAGUGGCGCACGGGUGAGUAAUGUAUCGGAACAUGCCUUUUAGCGGGGGAUAACGUAGCGAAAGUUACGCUAAUACAGCACAUUCUAUGAGGGGGAAAGCAGGGGACCUCCGGGCAUUGCGCUCGAAGAGAGGCCGAUGUCGGAUUAGCUAGUUGGUGAGGUAAAGGCUCACCAAGGCGACGAUCCGUAGCGGGUCUGAGAGGAUGAUCCGCCACACUGGGACUGAGACACGGCCCAGACUCCUACGGGAGGCAGCAGUGGGGAAUUUUGGACAAUGGGCGCAAGCCUGAUCCAGCCAUGCCGCGUGAGUGAAGAAGGCCUUCGGGUUGUAAAGCUCUUUCGUUUGGGAAGAAAUCGCGCCCUCUAAUACAGGGUGUUGAUGACGGUACCAGCAGAAGAAGCACCGGCUAACUACGUG